Molecule: ribosomal RNA, 922 nt
Filed under: Klebsiella pneumoniae
Lineage: Bacteria; Pseudomonadati; Pseudomonadota; Gammaproteobacteria; Enterobacterales; Enterobacteriaceae
Description: bacterial SSU rRNA
Rfam family: Bacterial small subunit ribosomal RNA
Source: RNAcentral
AACCUGGGAACUGCAUUCGAAACUGGCAGGCUAGAGUCUUGUAGAGGGGGGUAGAAUUCCAGGUGUAGCGGUGAAAUGCGUAGAGAUCUGGAGGAAUACCGGUGGCGAAGGCGGCCCCCUGGACAAAGACUGACGCUCAGGUGCGAAAGCGUGGGGAGCAAACAGGAUUAGAUACCCUGGUAGUCCACGCCGUAAACGAUGUCGAUUUGGAGGUUGUGCCCUUGAGGCGUGGCUUCCGGAGCUAACGCGUUAAAUCGACCGCCUGGGGAGUACGGCCGCAAGGUUAAAACUCAAAUGAAUUGACGGGGGCCCGCACAAGCGGUGGAGCAUGUGGUUUAAUUCGAUGCAACGCGAAGAACCUUACCUGGUCUUGACAUCCACAGAACUUUCCAGAGAUGGAUUGGUGCCUUCGGGAACUGUGAGACAGGUGCUGCAUGGCUGUCGUCAGCUCGUGUUGUGAAAUGUUGGGUUAAGUCCCGCAACGAGCGCAACCCUUAUCCUUUGUUGCCAGCGGUUCGGCCGGGAACUCAAAGGAGACUGCCAGUGAUAAACUGGAGGAAGGUGGGGAUGACGUCAAGUCAUCAUGGCCCUUACGACCAGGGCUACACACGUGCUACAAUGGCAUAUACAAAGAGAAGCGACCUCGCGAGAGCAAGCGGACCUCAUAAAGUAUGUCGUAGUCCGGAUUGGAGUCUGCAACUCGACUCCAUGAAGUCGGAAUCGCUAGUAAUCGUAGAUCAGAAUGCUACGGUGAAUACGUUCCCGGGCCUUGUACACACCGCCCGUCACACCAUGGGAGUGGGUUGCAAAAGAAGUAGGUAGCUUAACCUUCGGGAGGGCGCUUACCACUUUGUGAUUCAUGACUGGGGUGAAGUCGUAACAAGGUAACCGUAGGGGAACCUGCGGUUGGAUCACCUCCUUA